UACAGAGGAGCCAAGCGUUGUCCGGAUUGACUGGGCGUAAAGAGCUCGUAGGCGGUGUGUCGCGUCGGCCGUGAAAACCUGCAGCUUAACUGUGGGCUUGCGGUCGAUACGGGCAUCACUGGAGUUCGGCAGGGGAGACUGGAAUUCCUGGUGUAGCGGUGAAAUGCGCAGAUAUCAGGAGGAACACCGGUGGCGAAGGCGGGUCUCUGGGCCGAUACUGACGCUGAGGAGCGAAAGCGUGGGGAGCGAACAGG
Molecule: ribosomal RNA, 254 nt
Filed under: uncultured bacterium
Lineage: Bacteria
Description: partial 16S ribosomal RNA
Rfam family: Bacterial small subunit ribosomal RNA
Source: RNAcentral